Molecule: long non-coding RNA, 719 nt
Organism: Apis cerana (Asiatic honeybee)
Lineage: Eukaryota; Metazoa; Arthropoda; Insecta; Hymenoptera; Apidae
Source: RefSeq, a predicted model, not a curated record
AAAGAGUAGGAAGUAAGCAAAGUACAUACAUAUAUUUUAUAUACAUUUUAUAUUUUUAUAUGUAAAGUAUGUAUCUUAUAUAUAUUUUUACACAUCUUAUAUCAAUGUUUUCUAGAAUAGAAAAUAAUCCGUAAAGAUACGUUGGCCACGAAUUCUUUGGAAUUUUAAUAGAGAUUCUGUAUUAAUUUUAUAUUAAAAGAAAAUGAUCCGAGAAAAAUUAACGUACUAAAGUUUUUUAAAACUUUACAAUUUUGUUCGAUUUUCUCUUCGAAUUUAAUAACGAAGGAAACAAAUGAUAAGGUGGGUUUUUAAAAGAAUUACGGAGAUGCACAUAAGGAAACGGAAUAAUGUAUUCCGUGCGACAUUCACACGUCCCAUUAAAUCAACCGUUCACCAGUAUGUUCGCAGUUCCGCUUGACAAACAUAUCCCCACAGACAUUAUCCCCAAUGUGGCUAAUAAACUGCGUCGCAAUAUUAUCUAUGUAUCCGAUCUGGGAUAUAUUAAUCAUCUAGGCGUUGUUCCAUAACCAAGAAAUCGCCGUUAUCACGUGAAUUAAUACCGAUUGACAUGGUCAGCGUUUUAAUCUGUUAUUUCUGAUCUUUUUAAUGAAAUUAAUAAAAGCAAUUGACUCAAAAAUUUUUACAUAUACAACGUAAUACGAAUAUGUUCAUAUACAACAUAUAUGUAAUAUAGAUAAUACAUACGAUAUUUCUACUUC